GAUGAACGCUGGCGGCGUGCCUAAUACAUGCAAGUCGAGCGAACAGACGAGGAGCUUGCUCCUCUGACGUUAGCGGCGGACGGGUGAGUAACACGUGGAUAACCUACCUAUAAGACUGGGAUAACUUCGGGAAACCGGAGCUAAUACCGGAUAAUAUAUUGAACCGCAUGGUUCAAUAGUGAAAGACGGUUUUGCUGUCACUUAUAGAUGGAUCCGCGCCGCAUUAGCUAGUUGGUAAGGUAACGGCUUACCAAGGCGACGAUGCGUAGCCGACCGGAGAGGGUGAUCGCCCACACUGGAACUGAGACACGGUCCAGACUCCUACGGGAGGCAGCAGUAGGGAAUCUUCCGCAAUGGGCGAAAGCCUGACGGAGCAACGCCGCGUGAGUGAUGAAGGUCUUCGGAUCGUAAAACUCUGUUAUUAGGGAAGAACAAAUGUGUAAGUAACUAUGCACGUCUUGACGGUACCUAAUCAGAAAGCCACGGCUAACUACGUG
This 497-nucleotide ribosomal RNA is filed under the name uncultured bacterium. Its description in RNAcentral is "partial 16S ribosomal RNA". It matches the Rfam family "Bacterial small subunit ribosomal RNA", at positions 28 to 507 of the family's 1533-position model. The record is from RNAcentral.